ACGGAUGCCAGGCGGCCAUGCUCACUGGGGCCCAGGCCCCGGGUGGCUUAUGGAAUAUAAAUGGUCUGUGCUGGUAGCAGGUGGGGGUAACCUGGUGGGAACAGCUGCCUCUCUAACACAGGCCAGGCCUCAGCUGAGGGGUAAAACUGGUGUCCUCCAGGCAGGGACAGAGGCUGGAAGAGGCAGCCAAAGCGGCUGGGCCUGAGUUCAUGCAGGUCGCCCACACCCCCAGCUCCCACUGACUAGGCGCCCCACUCCACCCCAGGCCCAACCCUGGGAUGCCUUUGGUGAAACGUUGCAAAAUCCUGGCACAGCUCUGCUGGCUCCUAUCUGCAGCGGGUGAGAGGCUGCGACGACCGAGAGUGGAGGCCAGAGGGGAAAGGGCCUCUCCCCACAACAGGCAUCGCCUGCCCCCGCCACUGCCCUGGGAGCACCCAGUCUUGGCCGCUGCAGCCUGUGUGGGCUGGAAGACGAGGUGCAGCAGGUGCCCCUCCCAAGCUGGGAACAGCUGGGGGAGUCCGGUCUGCGGGGAGAUGACGCAGAGCUCCAGCCCAGGGCCUGGGGCGGCCGUACUGGGACAUUGAUUCUGGGUGGCAGCAGGUGCU
This 605-nucleotide long non-coding RNA is filed under the name Homo sapiens (human). RNAcentral's name for it is "HSALNT0279336". The record is from RNAcentral. Lineage: Eukaryota; Metazoa; Chordata; Mammalia; Primates; Hominidae.